This 406-nucleotide ribosomal RNA is filed under the name uncultured bacterium. RNAcentral's name for it is "partial 16S ribosomal RNA". It matches the Rfam family "Bacterial small subunit ribosomal RNA", at positions 30 to 526 of the family's 1533-position model. The record is from RNAcentral.
AUUGAACGCUGGCGGCAGGCCUAACACAUGCAAGUCGAACGAGUGGCGGACGGGUGAGUAAUGUCUGGGAAACUGCCUGAUGGAGGGGGAUAACUACUGGAAACGGUAGCUAAUACCGCAUACCAUCAGAUGUGCCCAGAUGGGAUUAGCUUGUUGGUGGGGUAGCGGCGCACCAAGGCGACGAUCCCUGGCGGGUCUGAGAGGAUGACCGGCCACACUGGAACGGUGACACGGUCCAGACUCCUACGGGAGGAAGCAGUGGGGAAUAUUGCACAAUGGGCGCAAGCCUGAUACAGCCAUGCCGCGUGUAUGAAGAGGGCCUUCGGGUUGUAAAGUACUUUCAGCUGGGAGGCGUUACCCGCAGAAGAAGCACCGGCUAACUCCGUGCCAGCCGCCGCGGUAAUUC